GCUGGGCGUGGUGGUGCACGCCUGCUGUCCCAGCUACUCAGGAGGCUGAGGCAGGAGGAUCACGUGAGCCCAGGAGUUCGAGGUUGCAGUGAGCUCCAGUCGCCCCACUGCACUCCAGCCUGGGCCACAGAGCGAGACCCUGUCUCUA
Molecule: non-coding RNA, 148 nt
Filed under: Nomascus leucogenys (northern white-cheeked gibbon)
Lineage: Eukaryota; Metazoa; Chordata; Mammalia; Primates; Hylobatidae
Source: Rfam by way of RNAcentral